AAUUGCUUCUUUUUGUUUCCUGGUUGACUCCAGGUUUAAGUGGAGAAUCGUCUUUCAAAGAAAUAUUAUCAUUGAACAUCUUUCUGAAUAUGGUAGUUUGAUGGAUAUUCGGAAUUAUUUGGCCAUCUGAGUCCAAGAGCAGAGUUUCCAGGAUGCUAAUAGCAUGUUCACUGUGGAUUCCUUUUACAGAUUUCUUAAUUGCAGAAAAACACUGUUCAGUGAUUUUGAAGGUUCGGGUCCUUGAGAAAGUGAAGCUCUUUUUAACAUUAGCUUCUAAAGG
This 280-nucleotide long non-coding RNA is filed under the name Phoenix dactylifera (date palm). RNAcentral's name for it is "long non-coding RNA (PDAC_LNC022265)". Lineage: Eukaryota; Viridiplantae; Streptophyta; Magnoliopsida; Arecales; Arecaceae. The record is from RNAcentral.